UCAGAACAUGGGAGAUACUGGAAAGUAUUUUGGACGAUGUGGGAAUAGCUGUCAGUCAGCUCUUCCUAAGAUCCAACACAGUAUGACAGAUGCAACAGCAAAACAGUGAGAGGCCCUCACCUGAUUAAAAUGGAGCAAAGAAUGAAGGAUGGCCUGGGUGACAAUCCUGAUGGAGCAAUCCUGGUGAAAGUGCCAGAUUCCUGGGUGCUGGCACUGGGAACUGAAGCAGCACCAUUGCUCACCCAUAUCUAAGGUUGGCUGCUUACUGACAAUGCCGUGUGGCUUCGGAUAAUCUUUGCAUGUUAUCCUGCCUGAUG
RNAcentral lists this long non-coding RNA (317 nucleotides) under Saimiri boliviensis boliviensis (Bolivian squirrel monkey). Its description in RNAcentral is "lncRNA (ENSSBOG00000036749.1)". The record is from RNAcentral. Lineage: Eukaryota; Metazoa; Chordata; Mammalia; Primates; Cebidae.